RNAcentral lists this ribosomal RNA (242 nucleotides) under uncultured bacterium. RNAcentral describes it as "partial 16S ribosomal RNA". It matches the Rfam family "Bacterial small subunit ribosomal RNA", at positions 74 to 334 of the family's 1533-position model. The record is from RNAcentral.
CCACCUUCGGGUGGUGGACAGUGGCAGACGGGUGAGUAACGCGUGGGAACGUGCCUUUCGGUUCGGGAUAACCCAGGGAAACUUGGGCUAAUACCGGAUACGCCCUUCGGGGGAAAGAUUCAUUGCCGAAAGAUCGGCCCGCGUCGGAUUAGCUAGUUGGUGGGGUAAUGGCCUACCAAGGCGACGAUCCGUAGCUGGUCUGAGAGGAUGACCAGCCACACUGGGACUGAGACACGGCCCAG